Molecule: ribosomal RNA, 369 nt
Filed under: uncultured organism
Description: bacterial SSU rRNA
Rfam family: Bacterial small subunit ribosomal RNA
Source: RNAcentral
CGUAGGGUGCGAGCGUUAAUCGGAAUUACUGGGCGUAGAGCGUGCGCAGGCGGUUCGCUGUGUCCUGUGUGAAAGCCCCGGGCUCAACCUGGGAAUGGCAUGGGAAACUGGCGGGCUGGAGUGUGGCAGAGGGGGUGGAAUUCCGCGUGUAGCAGUGAAAUGCGUAGAGAUGCGGAGGAACACCGAUGGCGAAGGCAGCCCCCUGGGCCAACACUGACGCUCAGGCACGAAAGCGUGGGGAGCAAACAGGAUUAGAUACCCUGGUAGUCCACGCCCUAAACGAUGUCGACUAGGUGUUGGGGAAGCGAUUCCUUGGUACCGUAGCUAACGCGUGAAGUCGACCGCCUGGGGAGUACGGCCGCAAGGUUA